Molecule: ribosomal RNA, 390 nt
Filed under: uncultured bacterium
Lineage: Bacteria
Description: bacterial SSU rRNA
Rfam family: Bacterial small subunit ribosomal RNA
Source: RNAcentral
UUCGAUUGUGCCAGCAGCCGCGGUAAUACAGAGGGUGCAAGCGUUAAUCGGAAUUACUGGGCGUAAAGCGCGCGUAGGUGGUUUGUUAAGUUGGAUGUGAAAUCCCCGGGCUCAACCUGGGAACUGCAUUCAAAACUGACUGACUAGAGUAUGGUAGAGGGUGGUGGAAUUUCCUGUGUAGCGGUGAAAUGCGUAGAUAUAGGAAGGAACACCAGUGGCGAAGGCGACCACCUGGACUGAUACUGACACUGAGGUGCGAAAGCGUGGUGAGCAAACAGGAUUAGAUACCCUGGUAGUCCACGCCGUAAACGAUGUCAACUAGCCGUUGGGAGCCUUGAGCUCUUAGUGGCGCAGCUAACGCAUUAAGUUGACCGCCUGGGGAGUACGGCC